ACGGCCACAUUUUGUUGUAACACCAAUUCCCGUAGGAUCACCGAAGUUAAGCAACGUCGGGCCUGAUCAGUACCUAGAUGGGUGAAAGCCUGGAAAUACCAGGUGUU
Molecule: non-coding RNA, 107 nt
Organism: Acanthosepion pharaonis
Lineage: Eukaryota; Metazoa; Mollusca; Cephalopoda; Sepiida; Sepiidae
Source: the annotation of a GenBank genome assembly